RNAcentral lists this ribosomal RNA (548 nucleotides) under uncultured Glomeromycotina. RNAcentral describes it as "SSU rRNA". It matches the Rfam family "Eukaryotic small subunit ribosomal RNA", at positions 548 to 1097 of the family's 1831-position model. Lineage: Eukaryota; Fungi; Glomeromycota. The record is from RNAcentral.
UUGGAGGGCAAGUCUGGUGCCAGCAGCCGCGGUAAUUCCAGCUCCAAUAGCGUAUAUUAAAGUUGUUGCAGUUAAAAAGCUCGUAGUUGGAUUUCGGGGUCAGUAGGCUGGUCGUGCCACAGGUAUGUACUGGUCUUACUGAUUCCUCCUUCCUGAUGAACCGUAAUGCCAUUAAUUUGGUGUUGCGGGGAAUCUGGACUGUUACUUUGAAAAAAUUAGAGUGUUUAAAGCAGGCUAACGCUUGAAUACAUUAGCAUGGAAUAAUGAAAUAGGACGAUCGAUCCUAUUUUGUUGGUUUCUAGGAUUGACGUAAUGAUUAAUAGGGAUAGUUGGGGGCAUUAGUAUUCAAUUGUCAGAGGUGAAAUUCUUGGAUUUAUUGAAGACUAACUACUGCGAAAGCAUUUGCCAAGGAUGUUUUCAUUAAUCAAGAACGAAAGUUAGGGGAUCGAAGACGAUCAGAUACCGUCGUAGUCUUAACCAUAAACUAUGCCGACUAGGGAUCGGAUGAUGUUAAUUUUUUAAUGACUCAUUCGGCGCCUUACGGGAAA